AUUGAACGCUGGCGGCAUGCUUUACACAUGCAAGUCGAACGGCAGCGCGGGCUUCGGCCUGGCGGCGAGUGGCGAACGGGUGAGUAAUGCAUCGGAACGUGCCCAGUAGUGGGGGAUAGCCCGGCGAAAGCCGGAUUAAUACCCCAUACGACCUGAGGGUGAAAGCGGGGGACCGAAAGGCCUCGCGCUAUUGGAGCGGCCGAUGUCGGCUUAGCUAGUUGGUGGGGUAAAGGCUUACCAAGGCGACGAUCCGUAGAUGGUCUGAGAGGACGACCAGCCGCACUGGUACUGAGACACGGCCCAGACUCCUACGGGAGGCAGCAGUGGGGGAUUUGGGACAAUGGGGGCAACCCUGAUCCAGCGAUGCCGCGUGCGGGAAGAAGGCCUUCGGGUUGUAAACCGCUUUUGUUCGGGAAGAAAUCCUCUGGGCUAAUACCACGGGGGGAUGACGGUACCGGAAGAAUAAGCACCGGCUAACUACGUG
RNAcentral lists this ribosomal RNA (484 nucleotides) under uncultured bacterium. RNAcentral's name for it is "partial 16S ribosomal RNA". It matches the Rfam family "Bacterial small subunit ribosomal RNA", at positions 28 to 507 of the family's 1533-position model. The record is from RNAcentral.